This 377-nucleotide ribosomal RNA is filed under the name uncultured eukaryote. RNAcentral's name for it is "partial 18S ribosomal RNA". It matches the Rfam family "Eukaryotic small subunit ribosomal RNA", at positions 592 to 976 of the family's 1831-position model. The record is from RNAcentral.
CAAUAGCGUAUAUUAAAGUUGUUGCAGUUAAAAAGCUCGUAGUUGGAUUUCGGGGUGGCCUGGCUGGUCCGCCGCAAGGUGAGUACUGGUCAGCCGCCCUUCCUCUCGAAAGCCCCGACUGCUCUUUACUGCAGUGGUCGGGUAGUUCGGGACGUUUACUUUGAAAAAAUUAGAGUGUUCAAGGCAGGCUAUCGCCUGAAUACAUUAGCAUGGAAUAAUGGAAGAGGACCUCGGUCCUAUUUUGUUGGUUUCUAGGGCCGAAGUAAUGAUUAAGAGGGACAGUUGGGGGCAUUCGUAUUUCAUUGUCAGAGGUGAAAUUCUUGGAUUUAUGAAAGACGAACUACUGCGAAAGCAUUUGCCAAGGAUGUUUUCAUUAA